CCUUAAAGAACCUGCCUUUGUAGUGCUCACACAGAUUGUCUGAUGAACGUAAAGAAGCAAGGCGUCUUGCGAUUGAGACUUCAGUGUCCCCUUCGUCUAGAGGCCCAGGACACCGCCCUUUCACGGCGGUAACAGGGGUUCGAAUCCCCUAGGGGACGCCACUUGCUGGUUCGUGAGUGAAAGACGCGUGCCGAUGUAUCUCAAAACUCAUCUUCGGGUGAUGUUUGAGAUAUUUGCUCUUUAAAAAUCUGGAUCAAGCUGAAAAUUGAAACGACACACAGUCAAUGUGUGUUCGAGUCUCUCAAAUUUUCGCAAUCAGAAGUGAAACAUCUUCGGGUUGUGA
RNAcentral lists this unclassified non-coding RNA (343 nucleotides) under Klebsiella pneumoniae. RNAcentral's name for it is "partial 16S-23S ribosomal RNA intergenic spacer". The stretch from base 239 to 336 matches the Rfam family "Salmonella enterica Typhi npcRNA 44". Lineage: Bacteria; Pseudomonadati; Pseudomonadota; Gammaproteobacteria; Enterobacterales; Enterobacteriaceae. The record is from RNAcentral.